GACGAACGCUGGCGGCGUGCUUAACACAUGCAAGUCGAACGGAAAGGCCCUGCUUUUGUGGGGUGCUCGAGUGGCGAACGGGUGAGUAACACGUGAGUAACCUGCCCUUGACUUUGGGAUAACUUCAGGAAACUGGGGCUAAUACCGGAUAGGAGCUCCUGCUGCAUGGUGGGGGUUGGAAAGUUUCGGUGGUUGGGGAUGGACUCGCGGCUUAUCAGCUUGUUGGUGGGGUAGUGGCUUACCAAGGCUAAGACGGGUAGCCGGCCUGGGAGGGUGACCGGCCACAUUGGGACUGAGGUACGGCCCAGACUCCUACGGGAGGCAGCAGUGGGGAAUAUUGCACAAUGGGCGGAAGCCUGAUGCAGCAACGCCGCGUGCGGGAUGACGGCCUUCGGGUUGUAAACCGCUUUCGCCUGUGACGAAGCGUGAGUGACGGUAAUGGGUAAAGAAGCACCGGCUAACUACGUG
RNAcentral lists this ribosomal RNA (468 nucleotides) under uncultured bacterium. RNAcentral's name for it is "partial 16S ribosomal RNA". It matches the Rfam family "Bacterial small subunit ribosomal RNA", at positions 28 to 507 of the family's 1533-position model. The record is from RNAcentral.